AGUGGUGAGUGGAGACAGGACAAGGGGAAACGGCCGGAAACUGCAGCAUAGGAAGUUCUGCACCAAUGUGCGCAAGAACUUCUUUACAGUGAGGUGAUGGAGCACUGGAACAGGCUGCCCAGGGAGGUGGUGGAGUCUCCUUCUCUGGAGAUGUUCAAGACCUGCCUGGAUGCCUACCUGUGCGACCUGCUGUAGGGAACCUGCUUUGGCAGGGGGGUUGGACUCGAUGAUCUCUGGAGGUCCCUUCCAACCCCUACAGUUCUGUGAUUGUCUUGCAGAGUUUCUGUUUCUACCUUCAUCUGGCUGACUUGGGUCUUGCUGUUAUCUUCCUGAUGGCUGAAGGAUCUUUUCUGGGGAAAUAAAACAUACUCAGUGUCCAGUCAGCUCUGCUGUAGGGGAUCCACCCCAAAGGGUCAUUGCUGCAAUCUGUGGUACAACUGAAACUAACAAAAGUUGAAAUGCAUUCCGUUCUCAUUGGUAGUGUUGAAAGGCAAUUACCCAUCUUUUCAAAAUGCAGUCUUUGCCAUUUCCUUUUAGGAGGCGCAUAAGAAAACUCCCUUUCUUGUUGCAGUCUGCCCUUUUGUAUGAAGUGUAGCUAUGCCAUCUUCUAGGGAAUUUGGCAAUUGAGACAGAAAUUGUAUUCAUAGCUAUAUAAAUACAGGAUACACAUGCAGGCUGGCAGUGUUUCCGAAUGGCCAGGUUUAUUUUUAGACCUCUAAACGGCUGUGUCACAUCCAGGAAGUGCAGGGAGGAGAUCUCUGGUUGAAGUUCAAUGUGAGAACAUAUUUUUAAUGACGUUGGCACAGAAAACAGUUGUAUUUUUACUUCUUUAAAGGUGAGGCUGAGAGACAAAUUUAUUUAAAGGAGCUGCCUGCUGGUUGGGUGGAGCACACGGAGCUAUCACAGCCCUGGCAUGCCCAGAACAGAAGUGACUGUGUGUUUAAAAAGUAAUAAUAACAAAAAGAAAACAAGAUUGGAUUAAUAGGUAACUGAGUGAAGCUUACAGCGUAUGGAUACACUAUACAUAUAGGCAUGUUGGCAAGUUUAUGAGUACAGAGUCUAAGUUUAGGUACCUAACUCCACCAUUAGGAUUUUGAAUAACAGGGCUGGAUCUGUUGGGGUCAACUUCUUCCCUUUCUGUUGUACUUAAUGGAGAAUGGUGUGUGCUCAGCCUUUCCAGAAGUGAAGCUGCAUAGUUGACAAGUUUGACAUUUUUCUGGUCUCCAAAUCAAUGAGAAAGGUAGAAGGAGCUGCCAAGGAAAAGUUUACAGAAUCAAAGCUACUAUAGAUAACAAUAAUGAGAUGGCUGAUCUAAUCUGGGCGUUGAGACAGACUCUGUGAAACCAGCUGAGUGAAAGAAUACCAAAAUGUCCAUGGACAUGCUUGCUCUGGAAGAUAAGAGAGAAUUGAGAAAUUAAGCCUUUAAUAGACUAAAACAAAGCAUAGAACAGAUAUUCAUUGUGAGUUUUUCUUUUGCAGAGCUCAGUUUGCGUCCUGCUUUUACAAUGGCAUCAGCGGGUUUGUGAAAGUUUUCUGCAUUUAUUUCCAAGAGCCUUUCUUUGCGUGUUUAAAAUGGAGAAAAAAAAAGAACAACCUUUCUCCACCAGAUGGCAGAAUCACUCACAAGCCAUUCCGGACAAAACUUCGAAAGUCUGCAUGUUCUAAGGCUAAGUGAGGCAACCUUUGUAAACAGAGCGCUGUCUGUUAGAUCAGCUAAUGUAGCCAGGGGAGACGGCAGGAAAACAACCUUAAUGACACCCUUCAGAAAUGCAUAUACCAGCUGGAUUUGUAUAUCCUCUUUCCCUGCAAAGCUUGCCUUGCUGAUAAACACUGUGGAUGUUAUCCUGUCCUUUAGAAAGAGGUUUCAAUUUGUAGAACUGCAAGGGUGGGGAUUCCCCUUCAUUUUCCUAUUUCGUAUUUAGUCAGAACCAAAAACUUAUUCUGGAACAAAACCAAGUCCCCUUCAACUACUACUCGUCUUGCUCAAGUUUCUCUAGCACAGCUGGGCUCAUCAGAGACCUCCCUGGGCUAAAACAUACAACACACUGGCAGCCAGCACCAGGUGACUUUCAGACAGGAGCUAUGAAGACUCCAAAGUAAAAAAUAAAUAAAUAAAUAAAUAAAGGCAAGGUGUCAAAUAUAUGGACAUUAAAACAGUAAAAAAAGAAUAAACCCUCCUGCAUUGUACUUCUGAGUUAAUCCAAUUGUAGAAACGUUUUCAGAUGUAACUAGAAAAAUGAGGACAUGCAAGAGUUAGUCUUGCAUGAGAGUAAAUCAGCUUACAAGCUCUUGGUAUGAAACUACUUUUUAAGGGUUGAGAGGGCAUAUAUUUAAACAGACUGUGAAAAUACUACCAAAAUAUAGGGGACAAAGAGACAAAGAAUAUGCAAGUAAUGAGAGAGGUACCAAAGGGGGCAAGUGGAGAAACUCCGAGGUGUACAUAAAAGAUCGCUUGAUCUCCAGAAUGCCCAAACCCUGCUUAGUUUCUCACUGCAGCUUUGAGGGUGGAAAACAUACAAGAGCUUCCCCCGUGAUUCAGGAGAAGUCUGUGACUGUCAUAUACCAGGGCUUUGUCACCCCAGUUGGCACGAGCAGAUUAAUCAUCCAGGCUGCAAUAACAGAACUGUGUUUAUGAAGGUUUCAGAAGGCCUCCCAGGAACACCCAGCUGUUUUCUUGGCCGGCUCAUUUCCCUGCAGUUGUAGCUGAAAGGCCUGGGUACCAUGCUUAUCCCCUCACACAUGGCCUCAUACAUUUCCAACAGAAAAAUGGUUUUAUUCUGAGUUAGAUUGCUGUUGAAGGAGAAAUAAUUUUUGCAGAAACCUGUAGAUCUUCAGGGACAUUUGCAUGUUCUGUUAUAGAACAAAAGUAUUUCCUGGUUUGUUCUUCCUCACCAGUCAUGGUUCCUUAAUUCUGGGAGAUGAGGUUCAGUCCCUACUUCCCAGGCCCUUUCUUAGCAAACACCUGAAUAGGAAAAAGGAACUCUGAGAUGUGGUGUGAGCAGCUGCAGCAUGGGAAAUGGAUACAAAUGACAUUCAAGUGAAGGCUAAAUAGGUGCUUUCCAUGUUUUAGUGGCAAGGGACAAACCCUGAGGACAGAUGGAAGGAAGAGGUCCCAAACGGACCCAUUAAGAACAUCAGCAAAUAAAUCUUUGUAUCACAUCUUUAACAUUCACUAACCUGAUGACACCGUGUUGAUAAUGCACUUAGACAAUCCUGGCAGGUUUUGGCAAAGAGAGAGCAAGAUGAUUAGUUAUGUUCUUUGUGAAGAUCCAAGUACAUGUAGGAUGCAGGAAGUAAACCGCGUGAUCAGCCAAAAAUAAAAAUGAAAGAUGCAAAUUCUAAGAGACUUCAGAAAUAUAAACCCUUUGCCAGAAGAAAUUUGGGAAAGGAUCACUCAGGGUGAAAGUGCAACUACAUAAUAACAAGGUUGUAUGAAUAUUGGGGCAGUUGAAUAAGUUCUGUGUACAUUCUCUUCCUUUUCAGAUCUUUCUUUUGAUCAGAAUGUUAAUACAUCACUGGAAACACAAUAACAAUCAUUAUUAAUAAUAACAGUACUUUACUGCAUGUUCAUUAUGGUUUGCAAAUUUAAAGAUUAAAAGACAAUGUGCUUCAGGAAGACUGCCUCUCCAGUAUACCCUGCUUCCUGUGUAAAGCUCAAGAUGCCCGGGGUACAAAGCGCUGUAUCACAGCCUACUUUGCCAACGAGGCAAAGGGAAAACUUGGUGCAAGUUUGUCCAUAACUGUCUGGGAUUCAUCAGUGAAUUUAUUUUGUACUCUCCCCUCUUGUCAUUUUUGUAUUUAUGCUGACUCUACACGUAGAAAGCCUACCUUUUCUGUGUCUUUCUUCCUAUAAGAAGUCUUUCAAAUCAAAUAGACGCCAUUUUGAAGGGAAAAGGGCAAGACUGGAAUAACCACUGUCUGGACAAAGAAUUACAUGAUAGUUUGCUUGUUGACAAAGAAAGCAAUGCAUUUUUUUGCUUGUGUGCAAGCUCACAAGCUUACUAUUAGCAGUCCAUAAAUUGCAUCUUCUUGGUUUGGGUCUCUGCUGGAGUUCAGGUUGAUUUUCUGACUGUGAUUCAGGAUGUUCCAGGACAUCUGCAGAUUUAGACUGCUAGUUUCACAAGGUGAACAAAACAUCAGUCAGAAGAGUCCAUACCACUACAGACACUGAAAUAACUGAACUAGCACUGGAAGAGCUCCUUCCUAGCAGAACUGCAGAACCCUUCUCUCACACCCUGUGGUGAUGGUACUGCUCCAUCAGCCCAGAGAGAGCCUUUGUACUUCUGUGACAGUGUUCCUUACUUAGAUGUGGUUGUUUCAUGUUUGUGCUAAAGCAGGUAUUCAUUCACCAGCAGACAACUGGACAACAUAAAAAACUUCUCUUCUUGCUAAGCAACAAGUAGUUGUAGCAAUUAGAUGGUGAGGUGAUAUUUCAUCGGGAUAUACCUGAAUAUAGAUAAAAAAGAUGUAGGUUUGAUAGCCAGGAAAGCAAGGUGACACUUCAAAAGGAUGACUGAGCUGGGUGCAACAUUUUAUUUCAGGAUACGUAUGCAUCCAUGUCUGGUCUGGAGGAGACCUAAUCUCAAACAAGUUUAGAGCAAACUUAUCUCAAUAAACCCAUUUCCAGCGUAGGCGUUGGAAUGCUCUCUGUAGAUUCAUAAGGUAGCCUGUUUGUGAUGGCUAGGGACUCCUGAGUGAGAUUACUCACAUUAACCUUCAGGAUUUCAAUAGGAAGCUGCCCUAGGGUGGGUAAGGCUUUCAGUAAAGUGCUCCCAACGACUUGGCUAACUGCUGGUAUUGUUUCACUCCAUGUAUGUUAAAAGCUGUAUUUGUAAAGCAAUGCUUUCAAAAGCAGAGAUCAGUCCGAUACCAGGAGAAUGGUGACUUUGUAAUUCACAUGCCACAUCUAUCGUUAGCAGAAGGGAAAUGCAGAGGCUUCUUCAGAAAUGGGUAGUUCAUUGUGUGCAAUGUAAAAUCAUACAGCGAAAGGGCUGCACCAACCAAACAUUACACUGUGAAGCAGAACACAACCAGGUCUGCAAGGGAGGGAGUUACAGCAAUUUUAAGUUCCAAAAUAAAGACUACUAUUUCUUGUGUAAUACGCAGCUCGAAAGUAAGAAGGAGAGCAGGCAGGAGACAUGUGGACAAAUACAUCAGCGGGGCUUGGACAACGGUAGGAGAUCCACGGCCAGACCACAAUGCAGGGCCUGGUUAAGGAGCUGCUUGUGUCAUGUAAUGUAACGCCCCGCGGGCCUCUGUUGUUAGCAACGAGCAGUUGGAAUCACGGCCAGGCAGUUAGGAUCCGUUUAUUAUCUUCCCCCCUGCCCCCCCAACCCAAACUGCAGCCUGACUAAAACAGCAAAAACAGCACUGUCAGGCUGACCUCACCCCCAGCCAGAGUUCUGUCUGUCCGUAUGGCUCUGCCCGUGCGCGGCACCUCAAGCAGACGGCGCUUGUUCUGCCCACUUUGUUGGCAGCCUUUCCUGGAGCGAGGCUCCCCUGAGAACAUUUCAGAAGGUGGAUGCACUGCGGGGCUCCUUGGGAGCUCCUGAAAGCAUCCAUCUUUCACACGAGCUCCGUAUGCAGCCUUCUGGGUGACUCCCUGAACAGACUGACAUCAGAAUGACCGUGGAACACCGAAUUGAUGAAACACUUCUAAACUCAACUGGCGCCAUCCUAACCUGUUUAAACGGGGCUUUCUCUGAUGUAAUUAGAAGCAAACAAGUCCCACAGAGAGAGAGGUCGCUGCAUUGACAAUUUUCACAGCUACAAGUUGGGAGAGCAGGACGUGGUCACAUCCCAGCCGCAUACUUCACCCCUGGUUAACAAGAGUAGGAGAAAAAAUGGAUUUAUUCUAUCACUCAGUGAUAGCUGUCACCAAAGCUGCUGGGAGACAGAACUCCUUCCUAGGCUUCUUCUUUUCUGUUCUCCAGAAUCACUCCACGAGCUCCUGUCAAAAGCGAGGACUGAGCUGAAUACUAGAGAGAGAAAAAUAGAAGAAUAAAAAGUUGCAUUCCACAUUAGGCACUGGGCACCGCUCAGUAUAAGUUGCAGAUAAUGGGUUUAUAAUUUUGCCAGUUUUUGACAGCAUACAUUACUGUUCUGUUUAGUUUUGCUUCAGGCUGACUGAGCUGCUACCAAACAAGAAUCAGAUUUGGGCAGGCAGUCAGACGCUAUGCAGGUCUCCCAAAAGCAUGGAGGAAUGUGUAUUUCGAGUAAACAAAAGCAAAACCAAAACCUGCUGUCUUCUGAUGUGGCCUUGGUUCAGCUCCAGGUGUUUUUGGGGCUGCUUGCUUUUAGUGCUCACAAGAGCCGUGCUGCCUGGCUGCAGGGAGUGAGAGCUCCUGACCACCUGCCAGAAAAACCUUCUGCUUGGCACUGCCUUUGUCAGUCCCCCAGAAGUAAGGCUACGGUUUUCAAAAUGUGGAAGGUUGUAUCUGGCACAGCUCCUGUUUAACAAAAUACAAAAUACAGCAAAAUACAGCAUAGCCUUCCCUGCUUAACAGCUGCAAGAGCACUGAACGUGCUGUCUGCGUUCUCCCAGCUGCUGAGCCUUCCCCUUGAUUUCCACUUUGCAUUACUGUGUUCAAAAUUACCCCACAGAAGGCUGCAUCUCCUUUUCAUUUGCACAAAAUCUGGAUGUCAUUUAUAGCACAAAGUUUCUGAUGGUACUGACUGACCUCUGUACCAGUACAGGUCUUGGCUUAGCAAGUGUUAGGGUGAGUUCUCUAAACCAUGUUUCCUACAUGUGCUUUUUCUUACACAAGAGAACAGGAAUGUCAAGAAAGAAAACAACAGAAUUCUUUCUCUGAUAUUUACACAGCCGUGCGUGGACCCACUGAGCAGCACACAGGGUCGUGGCUGUGGCAGGCAGCCCUGCAGUGAGCCUUGCUGCAGGCGCCAUCUCAGCAUCCUUUCUCCUCUGUCCUUUCCCUUGCUGUGCCUGACAGUCAGAUCACGGGUUUCUGGCACACUAACAGAGAUGCUAAGGCUUAAGAAAGGACCCAUCAGCAGAAGCUCCAGAAUUUUUUUUGUUUUGGCCUGGGAGCAGUUGAAGGAUGGCACAAGAGGUUAGCCCAGCUGAUAGCCAAGCAACAGCAAAUGGGUUACAGAGCAGAACUGAAGAAACCUGACCACCUGUGCCUCUGACCAUCUUGUGGGAAUGUCAGGCCAUUUCAGGCAUAUGCUGAGUGUUGUCUAGGCAGUACAUGAGGAAAGAGUCAGGACAUGUUGGAAAAAUAAAUCAACUGGGAUGAGGAAUAAAAAUCUGAAACUGAAGUUUUUUAUGGCUCAUCUAUUCUUAUGAGUUGGGCAUCCCUGCAGCACAGCAACCCAUCUUUCCUCUGGGAAAUGUGCUUAUAGGUAAACUGGAUCCAACUCAGAAAAAAUGAUUUAGCUUGCAAGCAUUACAUGAUGAAACAUCUGUAUGUAGAACCUGAAUUUAUACUGAUAUGAAUGUCGUAGUAUGUUAGCUACCAGUGAUGUGAAGUGGGUAUCUUCAGUUAACUACGACUGCUCCAGAUACUAUCUGUAACAUUAGAAAUAAAUUACAGAGAUACUGAAAACCUGUGGCAUAUGGGGUCUUAUUGUAGACCCUUUCUUUUCUUGUCUUUUUAGGCCCUUGACAUAGUGGGGAAGUCAGUUCGCACCACUAUACAGGCUUAUUACUCACCCUUCAUAAAACUUUUAGUUAUACUUGUCCAGAACUAUCAGGUGUAAGAAAAUAACGUGCAUGUUGGUGAAACAGCAUCUGCUGUAUUAGUGACAAAUGCGACAAAAGUGGUGCAGCAUUACAAGUCAGAAAAUAGCCAUUAUCUCUCUAGCAAAGCAUAAACAGCAUAUUUUACCUACUUAAGCCUCUCCUUCCUCGAGAUUAGUCUGUUUGAGAAAAGAGGCAAGGUUGACCUUGGAGCCAGAUAACAAUUCUAGACAGAAACUGCUUUUUCUUUUUUCCCCGUCUUAGCUGUUAAUAGAGCGGUAAGAAAAGUUGUUCCUUAAAGAAUCACAACCUGAUCACAAAUACACCGGUCAUGAGAUGCUUGUUGGCGGAGAAGUGGAGAAACAAAAUAAUAGCCACCAGUUUAAUACAUCUUGGGCUAUAUUUAUGUAGAAAAUGUAAUGCUAAUAUAAAAAAAUCUUUAUUACCACACACCUUGAGCAAAAUGAUGUCAUGUUUAAAAGAUGGUUCAGUAAUGUGAUAUGUCUUCAGAAGUGCCUGAUGCCCCAUCCCUGGAGGUGUUUAAGGCCAGGCUAGGUGGGACCUUGGGCAAUUUGAUCUAGUACUUGAUCUAGUGCCUGGUAACCCUGUCUGCAGCAGGGGGGUUGGAACUUGAUGAUCCUUGAGGUCCCUUCCAACCCAGGCUGUUCUGCGAUUCAUUUUAUGAAAUACUCUUUUUUUCAGUUCAGUAAAAUACCUUAUGUAUGUACAUUGCUUGUCUGCCACAUAAGGACAAGAUGCAGCACUCAGCAUUAAAUCUACUCACUGUAGCCAUUCCGUUCUAUCACAUUUUUGUAUAGAAGUUAUUUUCUAUUGAUGACCAGACUAGGAAUUCAGAAAGGAUCUGAGUAAAUUGUGUGCUGUGUUGAAGCAAUCAGAUAGCUAACUUUGCUGAUGGCAGGACAAGGCACUUAAAACAAGGUCUGUUUGCAUUGAUGCUAAUAGGGACAAGCACGUAGAGCAGACCUGCUGCAGCUUCUCAGCCGUCCCUCACUAGGCCUUGAGCUUUACACUCUACAUGGACAGCAAGCUUGCUCUCUAUCAUCACACAAACACUUCAGUGUAAUAAACCAAGGCUGGGAUUUUUCGGAGGUGCUGUUGUUGCUGGAAAUCUGUGUUUGGCCAGUGGACAAGUCCAGGCAAUUACCCACUGCUUGUCGGAACAAGUUAGUUGUCAUGGGAAAAAGCAGCCUCACGGAGCUGCUCUGCUGCUGCCCAUCUUCACACAUCAUUUGCAGCAUUCUUGUUCCUUAACAAACCUUUUCUCUCUUCAGAGAUAAUUCUGAAGUGUCACUGUGGGCAAAUAAACCUGACAAUAAGAAAAAGGAGACAGACUGAUAACCAAUCAGUCCUGAUUGAAGCGUGGCCACUAAUGAGCAUCCACCCCAAUAACAUGCUCCUGAAUAGCCUCAUGUUCAAAAUUAGAGUGAGAGGGGACAGGAACGUAGCUCACACUGCUCAUUUCUCUAGGGAAGUAAUAUUUCCUCCUAGUUUCCUAAAUAUCAGCAAAAAAAAAAAAAAGUGGCCAAA
Tympanuchus pallidicinctus (lesser prairie-chicken) is the source of this 9247-nucleotide long non-coding RNA. RefSeq lists it as uncharacterized. NCBI's taxonomy places the organism in Eukaryota, Metazoa, Chordata, Aves, Galliformes, Phasianidae. The record is from RefSeq and is a predicted model, not a curated record. The transcript has 2 exons.